CAUGGUUACAAACUGCUUUUAUUAGUAAGACAUGUAAGUUAUGCACAUAUUUAUAUUUGGUAAAAUUGUUCAUGUUGGUAUGAUAUAUUGCAUGAGUUCUGAUAUUAUUUAAGUUUGUACCAUAGUUUUCAUAUAGUUAGAAUAGCGACCAUGUAGGAUUAUGUUGUUUACCAUUUUCUUGUUAUAAAGUGUCGUAACGUAGUUUUUCAGUGUGCAUAACCAAAAAAAAUAAAGUUUUUAGAAGAUGCUGUGAAGUCUGCGUAGGUGUGGAUUGUAACAAGUUUUUGCACGUGUUAAAUAUAGCGAUAGUGUGAUAACAUUUAUUAACGUAUAUUUUUAAACAUCCAGUCGGUAGUGUAACGGGUGUGACGCCCCUCCCCGUCUUGGAGGUUGCUUGGCCAACCUCAGCAGGCAGUUGGGUGACAAGGGAGGGUCGACAGCCUGAUUGGGAUCACCUGGACCUUCCACACUAUAAAAGCUGCUCCAUGUGCUCACUGUCUCUCUCUCUUCCUACAGCCACAUCCACCUGGCAGCACCUUCAACUCCCUUUUUGUCACAUUCCCUGAGCCAGUAUGUGACAAGGGGCGAGUGCCGGGUGAACUUGGAUGGAAAUCACCUGCUGUGAGUCAGGCUGCUGUUGAGGAAAAAUCCUUCAAAGUCGGCCGCUCCUUGAAUUUAAAGCAGCAGUGAGUUCUCCUCCUCCAGGAACCUGUACUCCAGAGGACGAGGCGGCAAGGUGGCUUGAACUCCCAGCUCGUAGUGAGCACCUCCUCCACUCACAUCGAAGCGCAGCCCCUCCAGCCGCCGCCUCUUCAACU
Long non-coding RNA from Sebastes umbrosus (honeycomb rockfish), 818 nucleotides. RefSeq lists it as uncharacterized. The transcript is spliced from 3 exons. Lineage: Eukaryota; Metazoa; Chordata; Actinopteri; Perciformes; Sebastidae. The record is from RefSeq and is a predicted model, not a curated record.